AGCGAACGUUGGCGGUGUGGAUUAGGCAUGCAAGUCGUGCAAGAAAGCCUUCGGGCGAGUAAAGCGGCGGACGGGUGAGUAACACGUAACCAACCUGCCCUCGAGACCGGAAUAACCACUGGAAACGGUGGGUAAUGCCGGAUGGACCAACAAGUCGGCAUCGACAUGUUGGUAAAUGGCUUCGGCUGCUCGGGGAGGGGGUUGCGGGCUAUUAGCUAGUUGGUGGGGUAACGGCCUACCAAGGCAAUGAUGGCUAGCGGGUCUGAGAGGAUGAUCCGUCACACUGGGACUGAGAUACUGCCCAGACUCCUACGGGAGGCUGCAGUCGAGAAUCUUCCACAAUGGGCGAAAGCCUGAUGGAGCGACACCGCGUGCAGGAUGAAGGCCUUAGGGUUGUAAACUGCUGUCACGUUCUAGGAAUAAGGCUUCGGCCUAUGACCAAAACGAGAGGAAGCACCGGCUAACUCCGUGCCAGCAGCCGCGGUAAGACGGAGGGCGCAAACGUUGCUCGGAAUCACUGGGCAUAAAGCGCACGUAGGCGGUUGCCUAAGUCGGAUGUGAAAUCCCGUGGCUCAACCACGGAACUGCAUCCGAUACUG
Molecule: ribosomal RNA, 599 nt
Filed under: uncultured bacterium
Lineage: Bacteria
Description: bacterial SSU rRNA
Rfam family: Bacterial small subunit ribosomal RNA
Source: RNAcentral